RNAcentral lists this long non-coding RNA (1268 nucleotides) under Dasypus novemcinctus (nine-banded armadillo). RNAcentral describes it as "lncRNA (ENSDNOG00000051401.1)". The record is from RNAcentral. Lineage: Eukaryota; Metazoa; Chordata; Mammalia; Cingulata; Dasypodidae.
UUGAGGUGCUAGCAUUUUGCUAAGAUUUUAACUCCCUUUCUCUAACUAGCAGUUUGGAAUGGUAAUCUCUCUGUUAUGGGGGUUGCGCUUCCUCAUCAGUAUUAGGAAGACAGCCUUGUUCUGGGCAGCCUCCAACUCAGAGAUCCGGAAACAAACGCUCAGCUCCUCCAACAAUGGCCCGGAGAGUUUGGCUCCAGAACAGAAGUCGACGGCUUGGGUUCCCAUCCGGACAGGCAUGGAGGCGGCUCUUGCGCAGGCGCGGUGGCUUUGUUAGCGAUAGAGUCUUGGUCGGCAUGAGCCACAAACCCGGGAGCCCGACGGUCCGAGGCCGCCCUCCACGCGCCCCCUCCCAGACGUGGCGGUCGAGCUGGGGAAAAUGUCAUCUGACUUGUGCAGCAGCCUUUACACAUACCACUUAUACAACUACCUUGUCCUGUCAAGCCCUGGAAGGGGCACAGACUAAGCCUUUAAUAGGUGAAGAUGUGCUCUGCAAGUGCUAGAUUUCUAAUGUACCUCACUUGCUCACCUGGCCCUAGGUUUGAAUGGUGCAGAAGUGCAGUUCCAUGCAGCCAGGGCAGCUGGCUGUGUCAUAUAGCCCUGUGGCCCUUGUGGAACCUGAACCUAAAAUUAGAGUGUUUUGUAGAGAGGAGCCUGCUUGUACAUCCAGCUUUGCUGUAAUGCUUGCUUUUAUCAAAAUUCUCAAUUACAAGCAAGAAAGACUCAGCCCCUGGUGGGUGGUUGUAGCAGUUUGAUAUGGUUAUGAAUUCCAAAAAUAGAUAUUGGAUUAUGUUUGUAAUCUUGUCUAUACCUGGGCAUGAUUAAGUUAUGAUUAGGGCUUCAAUUGGGCCACGUCAUUAGGGCUUUGAGUCCCAUCCCCCUUGAUGGGUGGGGACUCACAGAUAAAAGGCAUGGCAAAGGACAGAGCUGAGGGGUUUUGAUGUUGGAGUUUCAGUGUUUGAGUUUGAUGCUGAAGACUUAAGUGGGAGCCCUGGAAAGUAAACUCACAGAGGAAAGAGAAGCCAGCCACAGGAAGAGAGGAACCUUGAGCCCGGGAAGAAGCAAGCCCUGGGAAGAGAGGAUCCCUGAACCCAAAGAGAAGCCAGACCCUGGAAGGGAGAAAUCCAGGAAGCCUGAGCCCUGGCAGAUGUCGGCAGCCAUCUUGUUCCAAUACAUGAAAAUAGACUUUGGUGAGGGAAGUAACUUAUGCUUUAUGGCCUGGUAUCUGUAAGCUCCUACCCCAAAUAAAUACACUUUAUAAAAACCAACAA